RNAcentral lists this long non-coding RNA (934 nucleotides) under Sus scrofa (pig). Its description in RNAcentral is "lncRNA (ENSSSCG00015068012.1, ENSSSCG00060055773.1)". Lineage: Eukaryota; Metazoa; Chordata; Mammalia; Artiodactyla; Suidae. The record is from RNAcentral.
GGAAGCGUUGGGAAAUCGAAGGAGGCAUGCGAUGCAUGAGAAAGACUUUCACUUCUGUUCCCUCUUCCUGGCUCCCCGGACCAAACAUGCACCCCCUUUCCUGUGUUCUCCCUGCCGUCCGCCUGGCCUCACCCUGUCCGCGGUAGAUGAGAAGACGGAAGCCCAGAAAGGCACACUGAUUCUCCAACAUCACACAGCUAAACAGCAGCUCUCUGAUCUCCUUGAGCCCACCAGGCAGCCCUCUGAUGCGUUAAAAGGACACAGCCUGGAGAAGGAUGCACCCCAAAUAACGAUCAGUCCAUUGUACGAAGGAAUACCAUUCCAUGGUACAGAAGAUUUUGAGCAGGAGAGGGAUGGAGUCGAUUCUGCACUGAGAAAGAUGCUUCGGAGCAAUGGUGGAGGACCAGCCAAAGAGGAAGCCUGGAGCCCUGGUUCAGGGGUCUGAGCUGGGACAGGAGAUGUGUUCCAGGGCUGUAGGAGGAGCAGCAAAAGUUCUCAGGCCACGGGCGAGGAAGAAGCUACUGCUAACCUGGGUUCUCUAGGGGUGAGACCAGGACUUCCCCAAAUGACUCACUCAUUAUCAGACCUCCUUCCCCGCCCCGGUCUCGGGAUGGAAAAAACACUUUUCUAGGAAUGCAGCAGGGAGGUGGAAGGAAGCUGCAAUCAGUAGUAACUCUUUCCCAAUCCUCUUUCAAGAAAGACCUUCUUUCUCAUGGGAAGGAAGAGAACAGGCAUUUUCUGAGUCCUUCUGUGGCCUGGCACCGCAUCUGGAAAUGCAGGAAUGAAUGCAUCCUAGCCCUGGACUGCAAGGGCUUCAGAGCCUAAAGAUAAAGAGGGAAAGUGUUUCAAGAGAGCCAAUUUCGGAGACAUGGAAAAUGCUUCCCGAGACUUUUUUCCCCCUCACCAAUAAAAUGUGAUUUCCCGUUUAUAGACA